AGAGACAGGCCUCGGCGUGGAGGAGUCACCUGAACAAGGCCCCGUGCAGCCUGUGGAGCCCAGGACAAGGCAUCCCAUUAAAGACGAGCACCUGCUUCCCGGCAGGCCGGAACUGACGAGGCCUCAAAGAACAAGCUGGAAUCUGUCAGAACCCAAAGAGAACACACUCGGCUACGCGCUGAGCCGAGAGCCACAGCGGGUGUCUGGCGAAGGCACCAGGGUAAGGACCUGCUGAGGGACAAGGUUAGGACACCCUCUGCCCCCUCGAAAAUUUUUUUUUUUUUUUGAGGCGGGUCUGCGCUCUACCAUCGCCAGGCUGGAGUGCAGUGAGUGCGAUCUCGGCUCACUGCAGCCUCUGUCUCCCGGAGUUCCGCGCCAUUUUUCCUGCCUCAGCCUCCCGAGUAGCUGGGACUGAGGCACCUGCCACCAUGUCCGGCUAAUUUUUUUUGUAUUUUUAGUAGAGACUUGAGACCGCAGUGUAAGCCAGGAUGGUCGCAAGUCUCUCCUGACCUCGUGAUCCACCCACCUUGGCCUCCCAAAGUGCUGGGAUUACAGAGUGAGCCACCCCAGCCCGACCACCCCCUCAAAAUUUCUAAGUACAAAGCUGCUGAACAUCUGGGCACCCAGAGCAGGAGCCUCCUGCACACCGAGCGGAGGUGAUGACCAGAGGUGCUGAGGGCAGGAGGACCAAAGCUGAGUCCUGGGCCACUUGGAACAGCCUUGGGACUCAGAGGCAGUCCCUUCACCCUUCUUGGCCUCAGUGUUCUCAACUGUAAGUGGGGAACCCCAGAACAUGCAUCUCCCGGGAGGUUACGCCUCACAGAAGAUGCUCUGCCCGGAUAUCCAGUCCCUCCGUCUGCAGAUAAGGAGGUGGAGGAGGGAGGGAGAUGGACAGGCAGGGGGACAUUUCCAUUUGGCGCCAGGCCUUGUGUUUGACACACACUGUUUCAUUUGAUUUCCUCCCAUGCCUCUGCAAUUUGCACUGGAGAUGAGGGCUCAGUCCCCAGAGACCCCUGUUUCUCCUCACUCACACCUGAGACAGCUUCAGAGAGCCUGACCUUGCCUGGUGGAAUCAGAGCAGUUGACGAGGCGGGGAGGGAAGGAGGCCCAUGCCCAGAGGUUACAGAACCAUCAGGGACACACACUCAGAGACCAAGGAGGCAGGGACUGGGACAUGUAGGUCAGUGCCAGAGGGCCCCGUGUGAAACCCAAUUACAACCUGCUGGCACGAAGGGAGUGUGGCGUCCUCAGACCUUGGGGAAGGUCGCAGGGUCAGCGUGGCUGCAGCCGAGCUGGUUCUGUUUAUCCCGGCCGGCCGGCAGGCAAGCUCUAGGGCUCAGAUCCCUGAAUGGGCUGGUCACAGCCACCUGGGGCCCCCUGACUCCAUGGAGGAGAGCAGGAGGGGGCAGGAGGGGGCAGGAGGAGCAGAAGAGGGCAGGAGGGCAAGAGGGGCAGGAGGGGGGCAGGAGGGGGCAGGAGGAGCAGAAGAGGGCAGGAGAGGGAGGGAGGGGGCAGGAUAAAAUACGAUAAAAUACGACAUGAUAAAAAUAAAAAGCUAUGAUGAUUGAACAUAACAUGAUGCCAUGAUAGCCAUGAUAAAAUAUGAUACUGGCGAU
Molecule: long non-coding RNA, 1616 nt
Filed under: Papio anubis (olive baboon)
Lineage: Eukaryota; Metazoa; Chordata; Mammalia; Primates; Cercopithecidae
Description: lncRNA (ENSPANG00000039113.1)
Source: RNAcentral